UCAACCUUUAAUCCGGUCCAGCGAGGCCGGUAAGGGAUAAAUAUGAGAUACAAAUCAAAGGGCAUAAUUGAAAACUCGCCUCUCUUAAAAGAGGGCGAGUUUUUUGUU
Omnitrophica WOR_2 bacterium is the source of this 108-nucleotide non-coding RNA. The record is from Rfam. NCBI's taxonomy places the organism in Bacteria, Pseudomonadati, Candidatus Omnitrophota.